GUGGGGAAUUUUGGACAAUGGGCGAAAGCCUGAUCCAGCCAUGCCGCGUGCAGGAUGAAGGCCUUCGGGUUGUAAACUGCUUUUGUACGGAACGAAAAGACUCCUUCUAAUAAAGGGGGUCCAUGACGGUACCGUAAGAAUAAGCACCGGCUAACUACGUGCCAGCAGCCGCGGUAAUACGUAGGGUGCAAGCGUUAAUCGGAAUUACUGGACGUAAAGCGUGUGCAGGCGGUUAUAUAAGACAGAUGUGAAAUCCCCGGGCUCAACCUGGGAACUGCAUUUGUGACUGUAUAGCUAGAGUACAGUAGAGGGGGAUGGAAUUCCGCGUGUAGCAGUGAAAUGCGUAGAUAUGCGGAGGAACACCGAUGGCGAAGGCAAUCCCCUGGACCUGUACUGACGCUCAUGCACGAAAGCGUGGGGAGCAAACAGGAUUAGAAACCCUGGUAGUCC
RNAcentral lists this ribosomal RNA (450 nucleotides) under uncultured bacterium. RNAcentral describes it as "partial 16S ribosomal RNA". It matches the Rfam family "Bacterial small subunit ribosomal RNA", at positions 354 to 796 of the family's 1533-position model. The record is from RNAcentral.